This 752-nucleotide ribosomal RNA is filed under the name cyanobacterium enrichment culture clone 5_RT_5.2.7_D06-T7. RNAcentral's name for it is "bacterial SSU rRNA". It matches the Rfam family "Bacterial small subunit ribosomal RNA", at positions 8 to 802 of the family's 1533-position model. Lineage: Bacteria; Bacillati; Cyanobacteriota. The record is from RNAcentral.
AGAGUUUGAUCCUGGCUCAGGAUGAACGCUGGCGGUCUGCUUAACACAUGCAAGUCGAACGGGAUCNUUCGGGAUUUAGUGGCGGACGGGUGAGUAACGCGUGAGAAUCUGCCCUUAGGUUGGGGACAACAGUUGGAAACGACUGNUAAUACCCAAUGUGCCGAGAGGUGAAAGGUUAACUGCCUGGGGAUGAGCUCGCGUCUGAUUAGCUAGUUGGAGUGGUAACGGCACACCAAGGCGACGAUCAGUAGCUGGUCUGAGAGGAUGAUCAGCCACACUGGGACUGAGACACGGCCCAGACUCCUACGGGAGGCAGCAGUGGGGAAUUUUCCGCAAUGGGCGAAAGCCUGACGGAGCAAGACCGCGUGAGGGAGGAAGGCCUAUUGGUCGUAAACCUCUUUUGAUAGGGAAGAACACAAUGACGGUACCUAUCGAAUCAGCAUCGGCUAACUCCGUGCCAGCAGCCGCGGUAAUACGGAGGAUGCAAGCGUUAUCCGGAUUUAUUGGGCGUAAAGCGUCCGUAGGUGGCAAACCAAGUCAGUUGUUAAAGCGUAGAGCUUAACUCUAUAAGGGCAAUUGAAACUGGUUAGCUAGAGUGCGAUAGGGGCAAGGGGAAUUCCCAGUGUAGCGGUGAAAUGCGUAGAUAUUGGGAAGAACAUCGGUGGCGAAGGCGCCUUGCUGGGUCUGCACUGACACUGAGGGACGAAAGCUAGGGGAGCGAAAGGGAUUAGAUACCCCUGUAGUCCUAGCCG